GGCCCCGUAGCUCAGUGGUUAGAGCGCCGCCCUGUCACGGCGGAGGUCACCGGUUCAAGUCCGGCCGGGGUCGCCA
This 76-nucleotide transfer RNA is filed under the name Bifidobacterium longum subsp. longum. Its description in RNAcentral is "tRNA-Asp". It matches the Rfam family "tRNA". Rfam says of the family: Transfer RNA (tRNA) molecules are approximately 80 nucleotides in length. Their secondary structure includes four short double-helical elements and three loops (D, anti-codon, and T loops). Lineage: Bacteria; Bacillati; Actinomycetota; Actinomycetes; Bifidobacteriales; Bifidobacteriaceae. The record is from RNAcentral.